CUGCCGCCGCGGCCCCGGCCCUCGACCCAUGCUGCCCGGCCUCGCGUUCGGAGCGUGAGCGCUGCGCGCCCGGCCCUGAGCGGCUCUGCGGCCUUCUGGGGCGCCCGCUGCCUCCGACUUCUGGCAGGGGCAGAUAAAGUCUCAAUUUCUUGCCCCUGGUAAAGUGACCUGGAGUCAUAACUCACAGCAACCUCAAACUCUUGGGCUCAAGCAUUCCUCUUGCCUCAGUCUACCCAGUAGCUGGGACCACAAGUGCCCACCACAAUGCCCAGCUAUUUUUCUUAGAGACUGGGGUCUCACUCUCGCUAAGGCUGGUCUCGAACUUCUGAGCUCAGGCAAUCCACCCACCUUGGCCUUCCACAGUAUUGGGAUUACAAUCAUGAGCCACUGAGCCCAGCCCUACAGUAACUUUUAUAAUAUAAUAAUUAAACCUGGACACUGACCGCUUCAGCUCCUCUCAGGUGACAGCCUUUAUGACUUAUUGACCACCUGACUUUUCUUGCUUUUGUCAAGACCUCUGAAUUCCCCUUAAUGGAAACAAAGAAUUUUCAAUGACAGCUGAAAGAACACUGAUCAACAAUAGAACCAAGUCACUAACCUAUCAGAAAACUUUCUACAGAUCAAAGAAUUAAUCUGUUACCAAAUCAAGGUACACACUAAGAGUGAGACCUCUGAAGCUAAAGGAAACCCCUUGGGUGACAAAUACGCCUUGAUCUGUGGUAGAGUACAGUGCUGCUGUCAUCAGAGCUCAUUGCAACCUCAUCCUCCUUGGCUCAAGUGAUCUUCCUGCCUCAGCCUCCCUAAUAGGAGUACAGGUAGG
Nycticebus coucang (slow loris) is the source of this 820-nucleotide long non-coding RNA. RefSeq lists it as uncharacterized. The transcript is spliced from 3 exons. The record is from RefSeq and is a predicted model, not a curated record. Lineage: Eukaryota; Metazoa; Chordata; Mammalia; Primates; Lorisidae.